UAAGGCAGGCUGAGGGACAAACCAUGAACAUGAGGUAACUGGAGUGCCCAGGUUGUCACAAAGAGGAAAAUGGGAAUUGAACACCUUCUCCUUUCCCCCCCAUCACUCUCUGGGUGCGUGUGAUCACACUGACAGCAGGACAGAAACAGCACCAUGGCCUAUGCUACUUCCAAGGGUUAGGUUUUCUGCCCUCACUGUCAUGCUGAACAACCCAAAAUCUUUCAGCUGGAGAGAGGAGAAGAAAUGGAGGCAAUCAAUUUUGAUUGGGACCUGGAGAUGCCUAUGCAAACAGGAGUGGUAACAAUUCUUUUGCUAGAAGGAGCAAACCCUGAAGAUUGUGAGCUGCCCAGACCAAGGACAUGCAGCUGCCAGGGAGAAGGGAAUAAAUGCAG
Molecule: long non-coding RNA, 392 nt
Organism: Passer domesticus (house sparrow)
Lineage: Eukaryota; Metazoa; Chordata; Aves; Passeriformes; Passeridae
Exons: 3
Source: RefSeq, a predicted model, not a curated record